Mesocricetus auratus (golden hamster) is the source of this 896-nucleotide long non-coding RNA. RefSeq lists it as uncharacterized. The record is from RefSeq and is a predicted model, not a curated record. The transcript has 3 exons. Lineage: Eukaryota; Metazoa; Chordata; Mammalia; Rodentia; Cricetidae.
CUUCUGCUCAGUGAUGAAAACACAGAGAGAAACAUAGCCAGGCUUGGUGGCUGGUGCUUGUAAUACCAGCACUUGGGAGGCAGAACCAAGAGGAUUACAUUCCUCAAUGGAAAUUUUGAGUUGACCAAUGAGCCUUGAUUCCUGUGUCUGGUGGAUUGCCCAUAGGCUACAGGUUAUGUUAUCUCUGCAGAGCUUGUAGCAAAAUAGAACACACCUUCCUCAAGUACCAGCUGGGACCGCGGCUCCAAAAGCAAGAUUCCAAGACAAGAUUACAUGUUUGGCAUUGAAGCCAACACAUGGUCACAACAAAGGGGCCACUAAUGUUCUACUCUUAUGUAAAAUACAUGUACAGGCUCUCUACGUCAGUAAAGGACGCUUUCACACGACUAAACCAUGGAAACACUAACAAGAAACUAGAAACAUGGACGUCCUCUUCUUUUUGCUGAAGGAGCACCCAAGGAUAGUCUUCAGGCCACAGAAACGAUCUCUUCCUUACAAACCCAAAUGUACAUAUGAACAAUGGUUUCCCCACCCAUCUUGUGGGUAAAAAUGACCUUUCAUCUAUUUGAACAAAAUAUAUUAUCUUAAUGGUCAUAAGAUUGCAUCCUUCUCAAGAGAAGAGGGCAAAGAACUAAAAUUACUGGGGUGAGCAAGAACCUCAGCACUGAGCCAGCGUGACCACACCAUAGAAUGGAGAGCCAAGCCUUGAGCCUGGUUUGCCCAGUAUCGGUGACAUAACAACAGUACAAACCGUCAUCUGGGAACAUAAAUCAAGACAAUAUCUCUGAAUGAAAGCCUCGGUAAGAUGGGGUGAUGCUGAGCAUUUUUGACAUGCUCUUUCAAGUUCAUCCACUAAGAAGUUCACGUGUGAAACUGUGUGUUAAUAAACCCCCUGA